This is a non-coding RNA of Schistosoma mansoni, 45 nucleotides long. The record is from Rfam. Lineage: Eukaryota; Metazoa; Platyhelminthes; Trematoda; Strigeidida; Schistosomatidae.
AUCCAGCUGACGAGUCCCAAAUAGGACGAGACGCGUAUCCUGCAU